Molecule: ribosomal RNA, 468 nt
Filed under: uncultured bacterium
Lineage: Bacteria
Description: partial 16S ribosomal RNA
Rfam family: Bacterial small subunit ribosomal RNA
Source: RNAcentral
GACGAACGCUGGCGGCGUGCUUAACACAUGCAAGUCGAACGGAAAGGCCCUGCCUUUGUGGGGUGCUCGAGUGGCGAACGGGUGAGUAACACGUGAGUAACCUGCCCUUGACUUUGGGAUAACUUCAGGAAACUGGGGCUAAUACCGGAUAGGAGUUCCUGCUGCAUGGUGGGGGUUGGAAAGUUUCGGCGGUUGGGGAUGGACUCGCGGCUUAUCAGCUUGUUGGUGGGGUAGUGGCUUACCAAGGCUUUGACGGGUAGCCGGCCUGAGAGGGUGACCGGCCACAUUGGGACUGAGGUACGGCCCAGACUCCUACGGGAGGCAGCAGUGGGGAAUAUUGCACAAUGGGCGGAAGCCUGAUGCAGCAACGCCGCGUGCGGGAUGACGGCCUUCGGGUUGUAAACCGCUUUCGCCUGUGACGAAGCGUGAGUGACGGUAAUGGGUAAAGAAGCACCGGCUAACUACGUG